Long non-coding RNA from Meriones unguiculatus (Mongolian gerbil), 755 nucleotides. RefSeq lists it as uncharacterized. The transcript has 3 exons. The record is from RefSeq and is a predicted model, not a curated record. Lineage: Eukaryota; Metazoa; Chordata; Mammalia; Rodentia; Muridae.
CUUUCUCAGUGGUACAGCACUUGUCAAGCUGCACGUGGAAUCAGAGCCCAGCUACAACAGAACAAAAGGAAAAGUCUGAGUCCCCCAUCACUGCCUUCCGUUACUCCCCCUGCAGUCCCUGAAAGUCGUGGCUCCUGCCUCCAGGUUCUGGCCCUGUUUGAGUUCCUGUCCUGACUUCCUUCAGUGAUGAACAGCAGUGUAAAAAUGCAUUUAUCCCAAGAACACUUCCCAGAAAGCUUCCUGCAGGGGAGUCUCCAUCACAGACUUGGAUUAUUCACAUCUGCUGAAAAAGGCUCAUUCAUAGAGCAGCCUGGCUUCUCUGAGUCUCCAGUGCAGUGUUGGCCAGUUUUCAUGUCCAUAAGCCUACAUUCACAUUCUAGCUAUCACCAAUGCAAAGCUGUGUGUAUCUCCAGUUCCCCUUGUAUUUCUCACUUGGAUUCCACAUUCACAAGUGAAGAAAGAGGGGUGAAUGACUUUACUCUCCACAGUCUCUGCUGCUGUACUUAGGGAAGGUGAAGAAAAUGCUGCCAGGUCUUUGGGUGGCUCUACCCAGUGAGAGACAGCAAGUGAAGAAUGUUGAGGAUGUGAAAAUAAACAUGCUACAGCAUAUAUGAUAAAGAGCCGCAUGAGUUCCCAUAUUAGAAAAUGCACAUCGUCUCUGGACCUCCACAGAGCAGUUCCUGUUUGCAGAGCGAACCACAAAUGGAAUUCACCCAGGUUCCCUGGCAUUACAUUCAAAUCAUUGUUCCUUUAUU